RNAcentral lists this unclassified non-coding RNA (226 nucleotides) under Hevea brasiliensis (rubber tree). Lineage: Eukaryota; Viridiplantae; Streptophyta; Magnoliopsida; Malpighiales; Euphorbiaceae. The record is from RNAcentral.
GUGGCUUCUGAUGGAUCGCUUUUUACAUGGGGAGCUAACGAAUUUGGUCAGCUGGGUGACGGAACUGAAAAUGCUAGGAAGCACCCCAAGAAAGUGAAACAAUUGCAAUCUGAAUUUGUUAUUAGUGUUUCAUGUGGAGCACAUUGUACUGUUGCCAUUGCAGAACCACGUGAAAACGAUGGUAGCAUGUCAGCUCGGAGACUUUGGGUUUGGGGACAGAACCAGG